CGCACCUACGGGACGCAGCAGUGGGGAAUAUUGCACGAUGGGGGAAACCCUGAUGCAGCAACGCCGCGUGAAGGAAGACGGUUUUCGGAUUGUAAACUUCUGUUCUUAGUGAAGAAGAAUGACGGUAGCUAAGGAGCAAGCCACGGCUAACUACGUGCCAGCAGCCGCGGUAAUACGUAGGUGGCAAGCGUUGUCCGGAAUUACUGGGUGUAAAGGGAGCGCAGGCGGGAAGUCAAGUCAGUUGUGAAAACUACGGGCUUAACUUGUAGACUGCAGUUGAAACUGGU
RNAcentral lists this ribosomal RNA (287 nucleotides) under uncultured bacterium. Its description in RNAcentral is "partial 16S ribosomal RNA". It matches the Rfam family "Bacterial small subunit ribosomal RNA", at positions 332 to 637 of the family's 1533-position model. The record is from RNAcentral.